AACGUAGGACGCAAGCGUUAUCCGGAGUUACUGGGCGUAAAGCGCGGGCAGGCGGCUCGAUGCGUCUGAUGUGAAAUCUCCUCGCUCAACGGGGAGAGGCCAUUGGAAACGGUCGAGCUGGAGGGCAGUAGAGGCAGGCGGAAUUCCGGGUGGAGUGGUGAAAUGCGUAGAGAUCCGGAGGAACACCAGAGGCGAAGGCGGGUCUCUGGACAGUUCCUGACGCUGAGGCACGAAGGCCAGGGGAGCAAACGGG
Molecule: ribosomal RNA, 253 nt
Filed under: uncultured bacterium
Lineage: Bacteria
Description: partial 16S ribosomal RNA
Rfam family: Bacterial small subunit ribosomal RNA
Source: RNAcentral